RNAcentral lists this ribosomal RNA (440 nucleotides) under uncultured bacterium. Its description in RNAcentral is "partial 16S ribosomal RNA". It matches the Rfam family "Bacterial small subunit ribosomal RNA", at positions 338 to 795 of the family's 1533-position model. The record is from RNAcentral.
CCUACGGGAGGCAGCAGUGGGGAAUAUUGCACAAUGGGGGAAACCCUGAUGCAGCGACGCCGCGUGAGCGAUGAAGUAUCUCGGUAUGUAAAGCUCUAUCAGCAGGGAAGAAAAUGACGGUACCUGACUAAGAAGCCCCGGCUAACUACGUGCCAGCAGCCGCGGUAAUACGUAGGGGGCAAGCGUUAUCCGGAUUUACUGGGUGUAAAGGGAGCGUAGACGGGGGUGCAAGCCAGAUGGGAAAGCCCGGGGCUCAACCCCGGGACUGCAGUUGGAACUGUGCUGGUAGAGUGUCGGAGGGGCAGGCGGAAGUCCUGGUGUAGCGGUGGAAUGCGUAGAUAAUAGGAGGAACCCCAGGGGCGAAGGCGGCCUGCUGGACGAUGACUGACGUUGAGGCUCGAAAGCGUGGGGAGCAAACAGGAUUAGAUACCCUAGUAGUC